CUGGAGACCUGCAUUAAACUGUUAUCUGAUCAGUCUCAAAACCAUAUGAAAGUUCGAGAAUACGAUAAAGCUUUAAUAGGUUACAAUAAGUAAAUUUGGAGUUCUGGAAUAAAGGAAUAUCACCCUCCGGAACAGAUUAUGUGAACACAUCAUACCAUAGAAAUAACAGAGAAUCCAAUAUUCGUUUAAAUAUCUAUAUCAUUAGCAGAGCUUUAUACAUAAAUAAUGUCAAUGUUUAUUGAUUAAAAUUUAUUCAUGGUGUUAACCAAACAUUAUCCACUUAAUUUAUUAUUUUAUUUUAUUUCCUAUUAACGCAUGUAAAUUUCCAAUGUAAGUAUUUUCGAUACAGAUGAUCAAAUAUGUCAAUUUUAACAUAAAGAUUAUGUCAAAUAAAACAGGCAAGGGGAGGAAUUUUUUAAAACACAUGAUCGUAGACCGUUACUAUUCACUUGGUAAUGCUUUCAUUUACCUAUACAUAUAUGUAUAUAUAAAAAUUCUUCUUUCGGUUCAAUGUCGCGUUGUUUGGCUGGUAGAAUGUUUUCAGAUCUUUUAGUGUUUCUUAAUUGUUCCAAUUAUCUAUUUAUCUAUCAACUAAGCUGAUAUGAAUGUAUAAUAUAGUAAAGAAGUAUAAAUA
RNAcentral lists this unclassified non-coding RNA (634 nucleotides) under Bactrocera latifrons. Its description in RNAcentral is "tetratricopeptide repeat protein 25, transcript variant X2". The record is from RNAcentral. Lineage: Eukaryota; Metazoa; Arthropoda; Insecta; Diptera; Tephritidae.